Molecule: ribosomal RNA, 2893 nt
Filed under: Escherichia coli
Lineage: Bacteria; Pseudomonadati; Pseudomonadota; Gammaproteobacteria; Enterobacterales; Enterobacteriaceae
Description: bacterial LSU rRNA
Rfam family: Bacterial large subunit ribosomal RNA
Source: RNAcentral
ACUAAGCGUACACGGUGGAUGCCCUGGCAGUCAGAGGCGAUGAAGGACGUGCUAAUCUGCGAUAAGCGUCGGUAAGGUGAUAUGAACCGUUAUAACCGGCGAUUUCCGAAUGGGGAAACCCAGUGUGUUUCGACACACUAUCAUUAACUGAAUCCAUAGGUUAAUGAGGCGAACCGGGGGAACUGAAACAUCUAAGUACCCCGAGGAAAAGAAAUCAACCGAGAUUCCCCCAGUAGCGGCGAGCGAACGGGGAGCAGCCCAGAGCCUGAAUCAGUGUGUGUGUUAGUGGAAGCGUCUGGAAAGGCGCGCGAUACAGGGUGACAGCCCCGUACACAAAAAUGCACAUACUGUGAGCUCGAUGAGUAGGGCGGGACACGUGGUAUCCUGUCUGAAUAUGGGGGGACCAUCCUCCAAGGCUAAAUACUCCUGACUGACCGAUAGUGAACCAGUACCGUGAGGGAAAGGCGAAAAGAACCCCGGCGAGGGGAGUGAAAAAGAACCUGAAACCGUGUACGUACAAGCAGUGGGAGCACGCUUAGGCGUGUGACUGCGUACCUUUUGUAUAAUGGGUCAGCGACUUAUAUUCUGUAGCAAGGUUAACCGAAUAGGGGAGCCGAAGGGAAACCGAGUCUUAACUGGGCGUUAAGUUGCAGGGUAUAGACCCGAAACCCGGUGAUCUAGCCAUGGGCAGGUUGAAGGUUGGGUAACACUAACUGGAGGACCGAACCGACUAAUGUUGAAAAAUUAGCGGAUGACUUGUGGCUGGGGGUGAAAGGCCAAUCAAACCGGGAGAUAGCUGGUUCUCCCCGAAAGCUAUUUAGGUAGCGCCUCGUGAAUUCAUCUCCGGGGGUAGAGCACUGUUUCGGCAAGGGGGUCAUCCCGACUUACCAACCCGAUGCAAACUGCGAAUACCGGAGAAUGUUAUCACGGGAGACACACGGCGGGUGCUAACGUCCGUCGUGAAGAGGGAAACAACCCAGACCGCCAGCUAAGGUCCCAAAGUCAUGGUUAAGUGGGAAACGAUGUGGGAAGGCCCAGACAGCCAGGAUGUUGGCUUAGAAGCAGCCAUCAUUUAAAGAAAGCGUAAUAGCUCACUGGUCGAGUCGGCCUGCGCGGAAGAUGUAACGGGGCUAAACCAUGCACCGAAGCUGCGGCAGCGACGCUGAUGCGUUGUUGGGUAGGGGAGCGUUCUGUAAGCCUGUGAAGGUGUACUGUGAGGUAUGCUGGAGGUAUCAGAAGUGCGAAUGCUGACAUAAGUAACGAUAAAGCGGGUGAAAAGCCCGCUCGCCGGAAGACCAAGGGUUCCUGUCCAACGUUAAUCGGGGCAGGGUGAGUCGACCCCUAAGGCGAGGCCGAAAGGCGUAGUCGAUGGGAAACAGGUUAAUAUUCCUGUACUUGGUGUUACUGCGAAGGGGGGACGGAGAAGGCUAUGUUGGCCGGGCGACGGUUGUCCCGGUUUAAGCGUGUAGGCUGGUUUUCCAGGCAAAUCCGGAAAAUCAAGGCUGAGGCGUGAUGACGAGGCACUACGGUGCUGAAGCAACAAAUGCCCUGCUUCCAGGAAAAGCCUCUAAGCAUCAGGUAACAUCAAAUCGUACCCCAAACCGACACAGGUGGUCAGGUAGAGAAUACCAAGGCGCUUGAGAGAACUCGGGUGAAGGAACUAGGCAAAAUGGUGCCGUAACUUCGGGAGAAGGCACGCUGAUAUGUAGGUGAAGCGACUUGCUCGUGGAGCUGAAAUCAGUCGAAGAUACCAGCUGGCUGCAACUGUUUAUUAAAAACACAGCACUGUGCAAACACGAAAGUGGACGUAUACGGUGUGACGCCUGCCCGGUGCCGGAAGGUUAAUUGAUGGGGUUAGCGCAAGCGAAGCUCUUGAUCGAAGCCCCGGUAAACGGCGGCCGUAACUAUAACGGUCCUAAGGUAGCGAAAUUCCUUGUCGGGUAAGUUCCGACCUGCACGAAUGGCGUAAUGAUGGCCAGGCUGUCUCCACCCGAGACUCAGUGAAAUUGAACUCGCUGUGAAGAUGCAGUGUACCCGCGGCAAGACGGAAAGACCCCGUGAACCUUUACUAUAGCUUGACACUGAACAUUGAGCCUUGAUGUGUAGGAUAGGUGGGAGGCUUUGAAGUGUGGACGCCAGUCUGCAUGGAGCCGACCUUGAAAUACCACCCUUUAAUGUUUGAUGUUCUAACGUGGACCCGUAAUCCGGGUUGCGGACAGUGUCUGGUGGGUAGUUUGACUGGGGCGGUCUCCUCCUAAAGAGUAACGGAGGAGCACGAAGGUUGGCUAAUCCUGGUCGGACAUCAGGAGGUUAGUGCAAUGGCAUAAGCCAGCUUGACUGCGAGCGUGACGGCGCGAGCAGGUGCGAAAGCAGGUCAUAGUGAUCCGGUGGUUCUGAAUGGAAGGGCCAUCGCUCAACGGAUAAAAGGUACUCCGGGGAUAACAGGCUGAUACCGCCCAAGAGUUCAUAUCGACGGCGGUGUUUGGCACCUCGAUGUCGGCUCAUCACAUCCUGGGGCUGAAGUAGGUCCCAAGGGUAUGGCUGUUCGCCAUUUAAAGUGGUACGCGAGCUGGGUUUAGAACGUCGUGAGACAGUUCGGUCCCUAUCUGCCGUGGGCGCUGGAGAACUGAGGGGGGCUGCUCCUAGUACGAGAGGACCGGAGUGGACGCAUCACUGGUGUUCGGGUUGUCAUGCCAAUGGCACUGCCCGGUAGCUAAAUGCGGAAGAGAUAAGUGCUGAAAGCAUCUAAGCACGAAACUUGCCCCGAGAUGAGUUCUCCCUGACCCUUUAAGGGUCCUGAAGGAACGUUGAAGACGACGACGUUGAUAGGCCGGGUGUGUAAGCGCAGCGAUGCGUUGAGCUAACCGGUACUAAUGAACCGUGAGGCUUAACC